CCAGAAGUGGAUUGCAUGUCUGGCAAAAAUGAUGAUCGACUGAAAUCGCAGGCCGUGCAAUAACCUUUCUUUUUGCAGUCGGCAAACCAAAGGAGACCGAAGGCUGGAGCAGCCAGACACUAACUGGAACUGCUACGGUCUUAAUUGAAAAAUUUAGCCAAACUUCGAUACAUACAAGCACAGUGUACGCUCGAUAGAUGAACCACAGGGCCCAUCUGCAUAUGCUCGUGGUGAAUCAGUGCUUGGUUUUCGGGGAUGCACUGUACGGGGAUGUGCCUGUAAUUUUGCACACAGCCAGUCCCAGACCCACCUCUGGAUCCCAUGCUAGCCAGGAAAAUCCAACUGAAAUUAGUUCAUGAACACAACAAAAGCUCUGCCAACAAAACGAAGGAGAGAUGACGGAGACGGAGACGGUGACGAUGACGAUGUGCCACGUUACAAAAAAAAAAAAA
This is a long non-coding RNA of Drosophila miranda, 452 nucleotides long. RefSeq lists it as uncharacterized. Lineage: Eukaryota; Metazoa; Arthropoda; Insecta; Diptera; Drosophilidae. The record is from RefSeq and is a predicted model, not a curated record. The transcript is spliced from 2 exons.